AUGGAACGACAUACUGCUCCUAAAGAUAGAUACGGAUGUACAACCAAGAAUCGAUGGGGCAAUCUUAUCCCAAAGUUCAUACCAGUUUUGCGCAGGAUGGACAGAGUUCUCACGAGUGUUGAGUGGGAACAAAAAUUUCCCUUCGUGACGGUGCAAGCGUUACAAAGAGGAAUUUCUGAGCAUACAACCAUGCUUGUGAACUCUGGUGAGGCCAGUCAUCAAGGAAACAACUAUACUUUCUCUAUUGAAACUGCGUGGUUCGAGAGAUAUGAGUUCCUUGAGUUGAUAGCAAAGGAAUGGGCCUCAGAGCAAAGGGGUGAGUGGAAUGUCGCUAGAUGGCAAUAUAAGAUUAGACACCUCCGACAGAUUUAG
Molecule: ribosomal RNA, 372 nt
Filed under: Triticum aestivum (bread wheat)
Lineage: Eukaryota; Viridiplantae; Streptophyta; Magnoliopsida; Poales; Poaceae
Description: partial small subunit ribosomal RNA
Source: RNAcentral